This 625-nucleotide ribosomal RNA is filed under the name Asterionellopsis glacialis. RNAcentral describes it as "partial Bacterial large subunit ribosomal RNA". It matches the Rfam family "Bacterial large subunit ribosomal RNA", at positions 2270 to 2908 of the family's 2925-position model. The record is from RNAcentral. Lineage: Eukaryota; Bacillariophyta; Plagiogrammaphyceae; Rhaphoneidales; Asterionellopsidaceae.
UGACUGCGGCGGUCGCCUCCUAAAGAGUAACGGAGGCGUACAAAGGUAAGCUCAAAUUGGAAUUUCAAGAUCAAUUGUAGAGCGUAAUAGUAUAUUGCUUGCCUGACUGUAAGAUUGACAAAUCAAGCAGGGACGAAAGUCGGUUAUAGUGAUCCGGUGGUUCUGUGUGGAAACGACCAUCGCUCAUCGAAUAAAAGGUACGCCGGGGAUAACAGGCUUAUCACUCCCAAGAGACCAUAUCGACGGAGUGGUUUGGCACCUCGAUGUUGGAUUAUCACAUCCUGGAGCUGAAGUUGGUUCCAAGGGUUUAGCUGUUCGCUAAAGAAAGUGGUACAUGAUCUGAGUUUAGAACGUUGUGAAACAGUUUGGUCCCUAUCUACCUAAAACACGAAAAUUGAAAGAAUUAAACCCUAGUACGAGAGGACCGGGAAAAAUGAAUCUCUGGUGAAUCAAUUGUUUAACCAUAAGCAUCGUUGAGUAGCUAUAUUCAUAAUAGAUAAGUGCUGAAAGCAUCUAAGCACGAAACUAAUCUUAAGACAAAUUUUUAAUAGUUGUAAAAGAUAAUUACAUAGAUAGAUUUGGUGUGUAAUAAUUGUAAAAUUUUUAGCUAACAAAUACUAAACGA